AGCUUGUUGCUGUUACUGGUUUGAAUCUGUGGUUUUCAUUAUGUUUUGAAGCUGUGGUUCUGUGUGGUCAGCAAGUUAACAUCGCUUGGUUUUACAAGCCUUCAUCCAAGAUGAAGUGUUGACUGAAGAUGUUAGAGCUUGUUGCUGUUGCUGGUUUGGAUCUAUGGUUUUCAUUAUGUUUUGAAGCUGUGCUUUUGUGUAAUCAGCAAAAGUAUCAACCCCUGUUGGUUUUGCAAGCAGGUUCAUCAGAAAUGAAGUGCGUGACAGAAGAUGUCGGUCUGUAUAUCCAAAGGAAUUUAAAGAAAGCGUAUUUUCUGUGCCUUUACUAUUUUCUGAUUGGAAAAGUGAAGCUAGCUCCUUAGAAGAGUUGAUAUGGUAUUUCUUUUUAGAAGUAUUUUCUCAGGAAAACGUUGUAGCAAGCGACUGAUAUCUAGUCUCGAACUGUGUUGUUCAUGUGCUUUCUGGCAUUCUGAGGUAAUUCAUUUGGUUUUCAUCUAAAGACUGUAUAAUUUUCUGCACUUUUAUUAUGUGGUAGAAUUUUCUCAGACAUCCAGUGAUCUUGCACAUUUAUAAAGUAUCGUUGUCCUGUUGGAUCAUAUUAUUAGCUAUAGUUUUUUUCGUAAAAUUUAUUUUAAUUUUAGCAAUAGGUUUUUGAUAUCUGUGAGCAUAUUUAAAAUCUCUCCUUGCAGGGCAUGAAUAAUUGUCUGCCUCCAAACUGGAGCGUUUCUCAUGUUUGUAAGAAUGUUGACAAUUAACAGUUUUUACGCAGGCAGUCUGCUGUUGCGAAUCUGCCGGUUCGGCAGUGUCUAAUUAGAAGAUUGUCUCUCUAUUAUAGAGAUACAGUUUGGAGAGAGCGUCAAUUUCACUGAUAAUUUGGUUUCAGAUGGGCUUUGUAUUUAUUAGUAGAAG
RNAcentral lists this long non-coding RNA (909 nucleotides) under Nicotiana tabacum (common tobacco). RNAcentral describes it as "long non-coding RNA (NTAB_LNC015114)". Lineage: Eukaryota; Viridiplantae; Streptophyta; Magnoliopsida; Solanales; Solanaceae. The record is from RNAcentral.